RNAcentral lists this ribosomal RNA (465 nucleotides) under uncultured bacterium. Its description in RNAcentral is "bacterial SSU rRNA". It matches the Rfam family "Bacterial small subunit ribosomal RNA", at positions 338 to 795 of the family's 1533-position model. The record is from RNAcentral.
CCUANGGGGGGCAGCAGUGGGGAAUUUUGGACAAUGGGCGCAAGCCUGAUCCAGCCAUGCCGCGUGAGUGAAGAAGGCCUUCGGGUUGUAAAGCUCUUUCGGCGGGGACGAAACGGUCCGUGACAACACCACGGACUAAUGACAGUACUCGCAGAAGAAGCACCGGCUAACUACGUGCCAGCAGCCGCGGUAAUACGUAGGGUGCAGGCGUUAAUCGGAAUUACUGGGCGUAAAGCGUGCGCAGGCGGCUCCUUAAGUCAGAUGUGAAAUCCCCGGGCUUAACCUGGGAACUGCGUUUGAAACUGGGGAGCUGGAGUGUGGAAGAGGGGGGUGGAAGUCCAGGUGUAGCAGUGAAAUGCGUAGAGAUCUGGAGGAACACCGAUGGCGAAGGCAGCCCCCUGGGCUAACACUGACGCUCAUGCACGAAAGCGUGGGGAGCAAACAGGAUUAGAUACCCCGNUANUC